This 253-nucleotide ribosomal RNA is filed under the name uncultured bacterium. Its description in RNAcentral is "partial 16S ribosomal RNA". It matches the Rfam family "Bacterial small subunit ribosomal RNA", at positions 524 to 776 of the family's 1533-position model. The record is from RNAcentral.
UACGGAGGGUGCGAGCGUUGUCCGGAAUCACUGGGCGUAAAGGGCGCGUAGGCGGCUUUUCACGCGUGCGGUGAAAGCUCGGGGCUUAACUCCGAGUCUGCCGUGCGAACGGGGAGGCUUGAGUCUGGUAGAGGUCGAUGGAAUUCCGGGUGUAGCGGUGGAAUGCGUAGAGAUCCGGAAGAACACCGGUGGCGAAGGCGGUCGACUGGGCCAGUACUGACGCUGAGGCGCGACAGCGUGGGGAGCAAACAGG